UUUCCGUAGGUGAACCUGCGGAAGGAUCAUUAUUGUAUAACCGAGAUGCGAGGGCUGUCGCUGACCCGAAAGGUCGUGCACGCCCGAGUGCCCUCACACACAUCCAUCUCACCCCUAUGUGCACCACCGCGUGGGUCCCCCUUUGGCUUGUUCGGAGGGGGGCUUACGUUUUCACACAAACUUUGUAUGCAGUGUAGAAUGUAUUUUUUGUUUUUGCGAUCACGCAAUCAAUACAACUCUCAACAACGGAUCUCUUGGCUCUC
RNAcentral lists this unclassified non-coding RNA (263 nucleotides) under plant metagenome. RNAcentral's name for it is "partial contains small subunit ribosomal RNA, internal transcribed spacer 1, and 5.8S ribosomal RNA". The record is from RNAcentral.